GCUCAGGAUGAACGCUGGCGGCGUGCCUAACACAUGCAAGUCGAGCGUGAUUCAUUGAAAUGAUACUUCGGUAGAAAUUUCAGUGAUGAAAGCGGCGGACGGGUGAGUAACGCGUAGGCAACCUGCCCUUUGCAGGGGGAUAGCCGUUGGAAACGACGAUUAAAACCCCAUAAUGCAGCCUGAUCUCCUGNNCGGGCUGCCAAAGAUUUAUCGGCAAAGGAUGGGCCUGCGUCUGAUUAGCUGGUUGGUGAGGUAACGGCCCACCAAGGCAACGAUCAGUAGCCGACCUGAGAGGGUGAUCGGCCACAUUGGAACUGAGACACGGUCCAAACUCCUACGGGAGGCAGCAGUGGGGAAUAUUGCACAAUGGGGGAAACCCUGAUGCAGCAACGCCGCGUGAAGGAUGAAGGUCUUCGGAUCGUAAACUUCUGUCCUUGGGGAAGAAAUCAAUGACGGUACCCUUGGAGGAAGCCCCGGCUAACUACGUGCCAGCAGCCGCGGUAAUACGUAGGGGGCGAGCGUUAUCCGGAAUUAUUGGGCGUAAAGAGUGCGUAGGUGGUUACCUAAGCGCAGGGUUUAAGGCAAUGGCUCAACUAUUGUUCGCCCUGCGAACUGGGCAACUUGAGUGCAGGAGAGGAAAGUGGAAUUCCUAGUGUAGCGGUGGAAUGCGUAGAUAUUAGGAGGAACACCAGUGGCGAAGGCGACUUUCUGGACUGUAACUGACACUGAGGCACGAAAGCGUGGGGAGCAAACAGGAUUAGAUACCCUGGUAGUCCACGCCGUAAACGAUGAGCACUAGGUGUUGGGCCCGCAAGGGUUCGGUGCCGCAGUUAACGCAUUAAGUGCUCCGCCUGGGGAGUACGCACGCAAGUGUAAAACUCAAAGGAAUUGACGGGGACCCGCACAAGCAGCGGAGCAUGUGGUUUAAUUCGAAGCAACGCGAAGAACCUUACCAGGACUUGACAUCCCCCUGACAGGUCUUUAAAAGGACCCUUCUUCGGACAGGGGAGACAGGUGGUGCAUGGUUGUCGUCAGCUCGUGUCGUGAGAUGUUGGGUUAAGUCCCGCAACGAGCGCAACCCUUGCCUUUAGUUGCCAUCAUUCAGUUGGGCACUCUAAAGGGACUGCCGGGGACAACUCGGAGGAAGGUGGGGAUGACGUCAAAUCAUCAUGCCCCUUAUGUUCUGGGCUACACACGUGCUACAAUGGCCGGUACAAAAGGUCGCUAACCCGUGAGGGGGAGCCAAUCCCAAAAGCCGGUCCCAGUUCGGACUGCAGGCUGCAACCCGCCUGCACGAAGUCGGAGUUGCUAGUAAUCGUGGAUCAGCAUGCCACGGUGAAUGCGUUCCCGGGUCUUGUACACACCGCCCGUCACACCAUGGAAGUUGGGGGUGCCCGAAGUCGGUCAAGUA
RNAcentral lists this ribosomal RNA (1411 nucleotides) under bacterium XBB3003. RNAcentral's name for it is "bacterial SSU rRNA". It matches the Rfam family "Bacterial small subunit ribosomal RNA". The record is from RNAcentral.